AAAAUUGAUUGUUUAGCUCAAUAAGGCUGCGAUAGUGCUGCAGUCGUCCCUGUCUUUUUCCUUGAAGUGAAUUUCAUGAUUGCUCUAUUGAUACUUUACUGAGCGUUAGUCCAACGUUGUGAAACUUGCAACGUCGCUCUUUGGUUGAAAAUUGGGCGAAACGUGCGUCUGUUAACUUUGUUCGCCUUCUGUCGAACUUCAAAAACGCGGUUAUAACAUGAAAAGAAGGUCCAUAUUCUUCUUACCGUUUCCAACGUACAGAGAGCCGUAAUGCGGACUAUUCGUCUUGUGGUAAAACAUCAUUCCAGGCCAAUAGAGACUGUGCAAUAGAGCCAAACGACCUCCUUGGGCAAACUGAAGAUUCCAGCAUUCUGAAAAUUAAAUUUUAUCAAAAACAUCGAUUUUACUAAAGCGACGGCAUUGAUCGUUAUUUAUACACGUACCCGGGGGCACAUCUUCCGCGAUAGUAUCCAAAAAGUCCAACGCCAAGUUGUAAUCCUGCCUCGUGAGCAAAUUGGCGUUCCACUUAUUUUGCGCCGGUCUCGCGUGCAAAUAAGACUUUAAUUGCCUCGACUCGCUCGACUCCAACCCUUCGAAACUCGUGUUCAGAACGAUUUUGCCGUCGGUGGUCUUGAACCAGGCACCUCUGGGUACCACUGCUGCCUCGUGAUUUAUAAGGAAUACAGUGGCCGACAGUCGAUCCUCUUCUUUCAGGUGUUUUACGAUUGGUUCCUUCAACGAUCGAGCUGCUAUAUAACUCAUGAUUGGAAAAAAAAAAUAAAAAAUGAUAAGAAAAAUUAUUUUUAAUUCACGUCUGCGUAACGGAGAGGAUCAUCUUUAGCUGGGUACGGAGGGUUAGCGUCGUAGACAUUUUCGACUAAGGAUGGAUCACCUCGAAAAUCGUUGAUUGCUAAAGGAGUUAGCAAAAUUGCACAUUUUUUCGGCUCUGGCAUCAGUAGCCAAUUCAGGCAAUCAGUGCUGU
Molecule: long non-coding RNA, 982 nt
Organism: Nasonia vitripennis (jewel wasp)
Lineage: Eukaryota; Metazoa; Arthropoda; Insecta; Hymenoptera; Pteromalidae
Exons: 2
Source: RefSeq, a predicted model, not a curated record